This 255-nucleotide ribosomal RNA is filed under the name Duganella fentianensis. Its description in RNAcentral is "Bacterial small subunit ribosomal RNA". It matches the Rfam family "Bacterial small subunit ribosomal RNA", at positions 72 to 330 of the family's 1533-position model. Lineage: Bacteria; Pseudomonadati; Pseudomonadota; Betaproteobacteria; Burkholderiales; Oxalobacteraceae. The record is from Rfam by way of RNAcentral.
CACGGAGCUUGCUCUGGUGGCGAGUGGCGAACGGGUGAGUAAUAUAUCGGAACGUACCCAAGAGUGGGGGAUAACGUAGCGAAAGUUACGCUAAUACCGCAUACGAUCUAAGGAUGAAAGCAGGGGAUCGCAAGACCUUGUGCUCCUGGAGCGGCCGAUAUCUGAUUAGCUAGUUGGUGAGGUAAAGGCUCACCAAGGCAUCGAUCAGUAGCUGGUCUGAGAGGACGACCAGCCACACUGGAACUGAGACACGGU